This 350-nucleotide ribosomal RNA is filed under the name uncultured bacterium. RNAcentral's name for it is "partial 16S ribosomal RNA". It matches the Rfam family "Bacterial small subunit ribosomal RNA", at positions 338 to 703 of the family's 1533-position model. The record is from RNAcentral.
CCUACGGGAGGCAGCAGUGGGGGAUAUUGCACAAUGGGGGAAACCCUGAUGCAGCGACGCCGCGUGGGAGAAGAAGUAUUUCGGUAUGUAAAGCCCUAUCAGCAGGGAAGAAGAAAUGACGGGACCUGAGUAAGAAGCACAGGCUAAAUACGUGCCAGCAGCCGCGGUAAUACGUAGGGUGCAAGCGUUAUCCGGAUUUAAUGGGGGUAAAGGGAGCGCAGGCGGCACGGCAAGCCUGAAGUGACCGCCCGCGGCCCCACCGCGGGACUGGCUUGGGAACUCCCGGGCUGGAGUGCCGGGGAGGUAGGCGUAAUUCCUCGUGUAGCGGUUAAAUGCGUAGAUAUUACGCG